This 62-nucleotide transfer RNA is filed under the name Erinaceus europaeus (western European hedgehog). It matches the Rfam family "tRNA", at positions 1 to 61 of the family's 71-position model. From Rfam's summary of the family: Transfer RNA (tRNA) molecules are approximately 80 nucleotides in length. Their secondary structure includes four short double-helical elements and three loops (D, anti-codon, and T loops). Further hydrogen bonds mediate the characteristic L-shaped molecular structure. tRNAs have two regions of fundamental functional importance: the anti-codon, which is responsible for specific mRNA codon recognition, and the 3' end, to which the tRNAs corresponding amino acid is attached (by aminoacyl-tRNA synthetases). tRNAs cope with the degeneracy of the genetic code in two manners: having more than one tRNA (with a specific anti-codon) for a particular amino acid; and 'wobble' base-pairing, i.e. permitting non-standard base-pairing at the 3rd anti-codon position. Lineage: Eukaryota; Metazoa; Chordata; Mammalia; Eulipotyphla; Erinaceidae. The record is from Rfam by way of RNAcentral.
GGGGAGAUAGCUCAGCAGCAGAGCACAGGACUUGCAAGCCUGAGAAUCCAGGUUUCACCCCU